Molecule: ribosomal RNA, 103 nt
Filed under: Escherichia coli
Lineage: Bacteria; Pseudomonadati; Pseudomonadota; Gammaproteobacteria; Enterobacterales; Enterobacteriaceae
Also listed under: 1 other name
Source: RNAcentral
GCGCGGUGGUCCCACCUGACCCCAUGCCGAACUCAGAAGUGAAACGCCGUAGCGCCGAUGGUAGUGUGGGGUCUCCCCAUGCGAGAGUAGGGAACUGCCAGGU